This 420-nucleotide ribosomal RNA is filed under the name bacterium. RNAcentral describes it as "partial 16S ribosomal RNA". It matches the Rfam family "Bacterial small subunit ribosomal RNA", at positions 355 to 776 of the family's 1533-position model. The record is from RNAcentral.
UGUGGGAUAUUGCACAAUGGGCGAAAGCCUGAUGCAGCGACGCCGCGUGGGGGAUGAAGGCUUUCGGGUUGUAAACCUCUUUCGCUAUCGAACAAGGCCCGCUUAGGGUGGGUUGAGGGUAGGUGGAGAAGAAGCGCCGGCUAACUACGUGCCAGCAGCCGCGGUAAUACGUAGGGCGCGAGCGUUGUCCGGAAUUAUUGGGCGUAAAGGGCUUGUAGGCGGCUUGUUGCGCCUGCUGUGAAAACGCGGGGCUUAACUUCGCGCGUGCAGUGGGUACGGGCAGGCUUGAGUGUGGCAGGGGUGACUGGAAUUCCAGGUGUAGCGGUGGAAUGCGCAGAUAUCUGGAGGAACACCGAUGGCGAAGGCAGGUCACUGGGCCAUUACUGACGCUGAGGAGCGAAAGCAUGGGUAGCGAACAGG